CGCUGUGUGCUCGGUCGAAGACACGAGACACACGGCGACCGCUCGUUACAUAAGUAAGGUAAAGGAUCUCCUCUUCUGCUCUCCUUGAGUCGAUCCACAUCCGCGAUUAUGCCACUUUCCAUCGACCUCGCUUCACCUCGGCUCGCCGUGCAUCGACACCACGUGUGUGUGUGUGUGUGUAUGUGUGUGUGUAUACGUGCAACGGAAGCUCGUGAUUUCCUUUAUGGAUCGAAAUCCGGAGCUUCCUUGAAAAAAAGGUCGAAUCAGGAUUCCAGCCAUCGAGAGAGAAAAGAAAUCAUUUUUCUUCUCCUCACUAUGAAAGAUCGAGAAUGGAAUGGAGUCGAAAUUUUUUUUUUCUUUUUUUUUUUUUUUUUUUUUUUAAUAAAAAAUUGAUAAGAAUCAUCGAGACACAGUUGAAAAUUAAUUACGAUCCUCGGAGGAGGAAAUUAAUCAUUGUUCCCUUUGAACUGGAAAAUUUGAAAAUGAAAAGAUUAGAUAUAGUCCGAGGCGACUGUCACCGGGAGACAAAAGGAAUUGUGUCAGUUUUUUUCCUCCGGAACACCUGGAGAAGAGGAGGCAGAGAAUUAUGCCAGCCCGUUCUUCAGCCCCCGCAGCAUAUUGUCCGGGAAGCUUGCCGCGGGAAAAAAAAAGAAUCUUUUACAGAACAAGACGAAAUCGCGAUGAUCCUGAUUCAAAAUUAAAUUUUUCCUGUCGUAUAGUUGUAAACAGGAAAUGGAUUACGCCAAUAAGAAAAAUGUAUCGAACUAAUCGAACAAAACCGAUACAGCGAUAUCAUUCUAUCGCUGUAUUAUGUAAAAAAGCGUGUUGCUUGGUUCGAUCAAUUUGUUACGUCCGCAGUUUUUACCAAACAUUCGUUCUCCGAUCUUUCUUUUAUUCCUCCUUCUUCCUUCCUCUUCGCUCGCGAUGUAAAGUUAAUUGGCGUAGCGUGGUUACUCGAUUUACAUGAGUCUUAAUUAAGCGACUACUCUUGCUCGUCUCAACGCGUACGAAAUUACCUGCCUGUACGGAAUUUUCGAAGUAAUUGUUACGUAUUUUAUGCGCGAACGAGGGAAGAGAUUGGACGGAUACAAAUCUUCAAGAUCGUAAAUUCGCCUUUUUUAAUAUCACACAGGGUUAGGUUGCGAUCGUUCUCGUAAUGGCCCACGUUCAUUCAUUCGAUAUAUUUUCGACGAAUAUUACGCCCUCUCGAUUAGUACGCCUCUGCCCGGUGGAAAAAUCGUUUCCCGUGACCGUUAACGUCCCCUCGGAUGGAUGGGACGCGUUAGAAGUUUAUAGUCCGGGUUAUGGUUCCUCGUGAGAUCGGUGAUAUUGACGAGUCGUUGAACUUUGCAAUAUAACUUCGACAAUAACGCGACCUUGCCUUUGAACGGCGGAAGAACACUCGAGCGAAAAAAGAUCUAUAAGGAAAUGCGUUUUCUCUUGUGGAAGAUCCUCGAUCGAGUAGAGAGAAAAAUGCGAUAUUUAAUUGAAUAGAAAUUAUAAGAAGUUUUAAAAAAAAUUUUCUCGGAUAAAUUUGAUUUAUUCUUCUUCGAUUUUUCUUCAAUUUGUUGCAUUCGAUAGAAUUUCUCGCGGACAAGAAACGCUAUAACCAUCUAGCGGUCGAAUAGUACAACUAAAAUGCCCCUGGUAAAGUGCAACCCGAUGAGCUAUCGAGCGUGCACUUUGCCAGCUGAUGUUGAGUAUAGAUACCUUCUUUACCAUCGUAAAUCUUUAUCCAGAUUCUUAAUUUUUCUUAAGCGCUUAAAGUUAAAAUUUUUUUAUUUCGUCUUGAAUUUCUCAGUUAUUAAAUGGAUAAAAAGAAAUCAUAAGUCUUUGUAAAUAAUUACAUUUAUUUAUUUAUCAAUUUCACAGUAUAACAGUGUAUACGAUACGCUGAAUAUAGAAUAAUCUCUGCUCGUUUACUAAUUAAGGCGAUUAGUAUGUGAGUGUGAUCGGUAAGAACAUAUAUUAUAUAGCACGUGUACUUUUUAUUGGUCGUCAUAAUAUCCUUUUGUCGCUCUUUCUUCUUAUAAUUUUUUUUUUUUUUUUUUUUUUUUUUUUUAUAUAUAUA
This is a long non-coding RNA of Apis dorsata (giant honeybee), 2071 nucleotides long. RefSeq lists it as uncharacterized. The transcript is spliced from 2 exons. Lineage: Eukaryota; Metazoa; Arthropoda; Insecta; Hymenoptera; Apidae. The record is from RefSeq and is a predicted model, not a curated record.